AAUGACUGAUCGCGCAAAAAAUAGUGUUAAACGUUGACAUUGGAUGAAAGUUUAACAUGUCCAAAAAACGAUGAUCGCAAUAGCGGUCUGGCUCGAACUAGGAAGCUAAAAAUAUGCUCCCAUCACCAUGCAGAAACACCAUAAAAAGCUGCUGUUAAAAAAAUUUAUUUUGAAGAUAUAUUCAGUGUUCCAGACAACAUCCCCUAAUGCUUUAAUUCAGAUGGUAGGGAAUAAUCAUGAAAUUGAAGAGCGGACUACAGAGUUGGGCAUGGAUUCAAUUAAAUCUUUAGAACUUCGAUGUUAAAUUUGAUACUUUACGACAUUUCAAGUAUGCCAAUAUUAGUUGUGGCUAUACGUUUGCAGUUUUCAAACAUGAAAUGCUGACGUAGUAGCUUCAUUUUUAAAUUUUAGGUUUCAGCAUUUAAUCAAGUCUUAAUCUUUAAAUUUCAAGUUUAAGCUUGCAAAUGUACU
This is a long non-coding RNA of Photinus pyralis (common eastern firefly), 471 nucleotides long. RefSeq lists it as uncharacterized. The transcript has 3 exons. The record is from RefSeq and is a predicted model, not a curated record. NCBI's taxonomy places the organism in Eukaryota, Metazoa, Arthropoda, Insecta, Coleoptera, Lampyridae.